Molecule: ribosomal RNA, 305 nt
Filed under: uncultured bacterium
Lineage: Bacteria
Description: partial 16S ribosomal RNA
Rfam family: Bacterial small subunit ribosomal RNA
Source: RNAcentral
ACAGCAGCAGCCGCGGUAAUACGAGGGGGGCAAGCGUUGUUCGGAUUACUGGGCGUAAAGCGUGCGCAGGCGGUUCGUUAAGACAGAUGUGAAAUCCCCGGGCUUAACCUGGGAACUGCAUUUGUGACUGGCGAGCUAGAGUAUGGCAGAGGGGGGUAGAAUUCCACGUGUAGCAGUGAAAUGCGUAGAGAUGUGGAGGAAUACCGAUGGCGAAGGCAGCCCCCUGGGCCAAUACUGACGCUCAUGCACGAGAGCGUGGGGAGCAAGCAGGAUUAGAUACCCCUGUAGUCCCUGUCUCUUAUACA